Long non-coding RNA from Gossypium arboreum, 623 nucleotides. RefSeq lists it as uncharacterized. The transcript has 3 exons. Lineage: Eukaryota; Viridiplantae; Streptophyta; Magnoliopsida; Malvales; Malvaceae. The record is from RefSeq and is a predicted model, not a curated record.
AUGACACAAAUAAUUGACUGCUUGAGUGGUUAUGUAUCCUAAGAAGUGUAGGAGGUCUUGAGUUCAAACCUAGGCUUUAGCAAAAAAUGUCUGAGGUUUGAGGUUCAAAUUCUACUUUGAGCAAUGGAGUGUUUUAUUUUGCUGCACUGGCCGUGUGGGUAGUAGAGGAUCACUGAAACACUGCUGAGUGGAGUGGAGUGGAGUGGAGUUUGAAUUGGUCAUGGAGGGAGUUGAGGAGGGAUUUUAGGAGAAAAUCUCAAUUCGGCUUUUGUGAUUUGGAGGACUCCAUUUCGAUUUUGUAGGCAUUUUGGGGUUCUUUUCUUUUUGUUCUCCGAAGGCCGAAUAGUGUGAAGAGAGAUCAAUCUGUCCUCACCUACCAAUUUUCUUUUCUCAAGCUGUUGGUUCUGCCCAACGCGAAUUGCUUCAAGGUGGUAAGCUUUUGGAAAUCCUCAGCCUUAGAUGGAUCGGUGCUGCGAGGGAUUCGGAGGUGGCCACACUACUGCUCCUGCUUUAUAUUUGACUUUUAUUUACUAUUAAAUUUCGAAUUGGGUAUUUAUUUAUGUAAUAAGACCUCUCUAAGGUUUUAACUUUUAAUUUGAGAUUUUUACUUGCUUUGAUAUAAA